GACGAACGCUGGCGGCGUGCUUAACACAUGCAAGUCGAACGGACAGGCCCUGCUUUCGUCGGCUGCCCGAGUGGCGAACGGUUGAGUCACACGUGGGUAACCUGCCCUUGACUUUGGGAUAACUUCUAGAACCUCGGGUUACUACCGGGUAGAAGCCCCUGCUCCCCGGCGGGGGUUGGUAAGUUUCGGUGGUUGGGGAUGGACUCGCGGCUUAUCAGCUUGUUGGGUGGGUAGUGGCUUACCAAGGCUUUGACGGGUAGCCGGCCUGGGAGGGGGACCGGCCACAUUAGGACUGAGAUACGGCCCAGACUCCUACGGGAGGCAGCAGUGGGGAAGAUUGCACAAUGGGCGGAAGCCUGAUGCAGCAACGCCGCGUGCGGGAUGACGGGCUUCGGGUUGGAAACCACUGUCGCCUGUGACGAAGCGUGAGUGACGGUAAUGGGUGAAGAAGCACCGGCUAACUACGUG
This 468-nucleotide ribosomal RNA is filed under the name uncultured bacterium. RNAcentral describes it as "partial 16S ribosomal RNA". It matches the Rfam family "Bacterial small subunit ribosomal RNA", at positions 28 to 507 of the family's 1533-position model. The record is from RNAcentral.